RNAcentral lists this ribosomal RNA (463 nucleotides) under uncultured bacterium. RNAcentral describes it as "partial 16S ribosomal RNA". It matches the Rfam family "Bacterial small subunit ribosomal RNA", at positions 28 to 507 of the family's 1533-position model. The record is from RNAcentral.
GAUGAACGCUGACAGAAUGCUUAACACAUGCAAGUCUUUGGCGAAGCUGUGCUUGCACAGCCUAGCCAAGGCGGACGGGUGAGUAACGCGUAAGGAACUUGCCCUGCAGUCAGGGAUAACAGACGGAAACGACUGAUAAGACCUGGUAAAGUCAGGCGGACUCAUGUCCAGCCUGAUGAAAAGAGAUGCUGCAGGAGAGCCUUGCGUCCUAUUAGCUUGUUGGUGGGGUAACGGCCCACCAAGGCGAUGAUAGGUAGCCGGCCUGAGAGGGUGGACGGCCACAAGGGGACUGAGAUACGGCCCUUACUCCUACGGGAGGCGGCAGUGGGGAAUAUUGGACAAUGGGGGCAACCCUGAUCCAGCAAUUCUGUGUGCACGAUGAAGGUUUUCGGAUUGUAAAGUGCUUUCAGCAGGGAAGAAAAAAAUGACGGUACCCGCAGAAGAAGCGACGGCUAAAUACGUG